Molecule: ribosomal RNA, 484 nt
Filed under: uncultured bacterium
Lineage: Bacteria
Description: partial 16S ribosomal RNA
Rfam family: Bacterial small subunit ribosomal RNA
Source: RNAcentral
AUUGAACGCUGGCGGCAUGCUUUACACAUGCAAGUCGAACGGUAACAGGGAGCUUUCUCCGCUGACGAGUGGCGAGCGGGUGAGUAAUAUAUCGGAACGUACCCAAGCUUGGGGGAUAACGUAGCGAAAGUUACGCUAAUACCGCAUACGAUCUAUUGAUGAAAGCAAUGGACCUUUGGUCCUUGUGCGCCUGGCGCGGCCCAUAUCUGAGUAGCUCGUUGGUGAGGUAAAUGCUCACCAAGGCGACGAUCAGUAGCUGAGCUGAGAGGACGACCGGCCACACUGGAACUGAGACACGGUCCAGACUCCUACGGGAGGCAGCAGUGGGGAAUUUUGGACAAUGGGCGAAAGCCUGAUCCAGCAAUGCCGCGUGAGUGAAGAAGGCCUUCGGGUUGUAAAACUCUUUUGUCAGGGAAGAACCGGCUGUGGCUAAUAUACACGGCUAAUGACGGUACCUGAAGAAUAAGCAACGGCUAACUACGUG